GAAUUUUGGACAAUGGGCGCAAGCCUGAUCCAGCCAUGCCGCGUGAGUGAAGAAGGCCUUCGGGUUGUAAAGCACUUUCGUCAGGGAAGAAAAGGUUCUGGCUAAUACCCGGAACUGAUGAUGGUACCUGAAGAAUAAGCACCGGCUAACUACGUGCCAGCAGCCGCGGUAAUACGUAGGGUGCAAGCGUUAAUCGGAAUUACUGGGCGGAAAGCGUGCGCAGGCGGUUUUGGAAGACAGUGGUGAAAUCCCCGGGCUCAACCUGGGAACUGCCAUUGUGACUGCAAGGCUGGAGUGCGGCAGAGGGGGAUGGAAUUCCGCGUGUAGCAGUGAAAUGCGUAGAGAUGUGGAGGAACACCGAUGGCGAAGGCAGCCCCCUGGGCCGAUACUGACGCUCAUGCACGAAAGCGUGGGUAGCAAACAGG
This 425-nucleotide ribosomal RNA is filed under the name uncultured bacterium. RNAcentral's name for it is "partial 16S ribosomal RNA". It matches the Rfam family "Bacterial small subunit ribosomal RNA", at positions 359 to 776 of the family's 1533-position model. The record is from RNAcentral.